This is a non-coding RNA of Kluyvera intermedia, 129 nucleotides long. Lineage: Bacteria; Pseudomonadati; Pseudomonadota; Gammaproteobacteria; Enterobacterales; Enterobacteriaceae. The record is from Rfam.
AUCCGCACCGUCACGCCGCGCCCGGAGUCAAAACCCGCCUCACCCAGCCAGUUGCCUUUAAGGUAGAUGCCGGGGCUAUGGGAAUAAUGGGUGGGGACUUUGGUUUUACGGUUGGUGUGGCAGAUGCUG